Molecule: non-coding RNA, 71 nt
Organism: Ictidomys tridecemlineatus (thirteen-lined ground squirrel)
Lineage: Eukaryota; Metazoa; Chordata; Mammalia; Rodentia; Sciuridae
Source: Rfam
GGGGUUGUGGCUCAAUGGUAGAGCUCUCGCCUAGCAUGUGCUAGGCCCUGGGUUUGAUCCUCAGUACCCCA